Cebus imitator (Panamanian white-faced capuchin) is the source of this 1683-nucleotide long non-coding RNA. RefSeq lists it as uncharacterized. The transcript is spliced from 6 exons. The record is from RefSeq and is a predicted model, not a curated record. Lineage: Eukaryota; Metazoa; Chordata; Mammalia; Primates; Cebidae.
CCUUGUUGGCAAGGCUGAUCUGGAACUCCUGACCUUAGGUGAUCUACCCACCUGAGCCUCCCAAAGUGCUGGGAUUACAGGCAUGAGCCACCAUGCCUGGCAUGCUAUCUGUAUAUUUUCUUUGGCUGGGUGUCUGUUCAGAGGUUUACCCAGUUUUAAUUAGGUUUUUAGUUUUUUUUAGCGUUCCUAUGAAGAGUUCUUUGUUUAUUUUCAAUACAGUUUUUAAAAUCACAUAUGCAUUUUGUAAAUAUCUUCUCACAAUCUGUCUUGUCUUUUUGUUCUCUGAAUAGGAUUUUUCACAGUAUAAAAUUGAGUUUUAUAAAGUCUGUUAUGAAUAUUUACAUGAAUUGUCGUUUGAUGUUGUGUGUUAAAACUCAACACCAAAUUCAAUGUUACAUAGAUUUUGUUUUAGAUUUUUUAUAGUUUUGCAUUUCCAAUUAUAGUCUGGACAAUUUUGAGUAGGUUUUUGUGUUUUAAUUUGUGUGUACAUUCAUUUCAUUCUAAAUGGCUUCCAGAUAAUUCUUCCAUUACUAUAUUUGGGAAAGCUAUGGAUAUAGUGGACUUUGUUUUGAAUUUCCAAAAUGAUGACAUUGAAUAAACUGGAUUUCCAAAAUGAUGACAUUGAAUAAACUGGAUAUUGAAUUUUAUAGGUAUUUAAGGACAAACAGGAGGGGGUGUGUGUCUGCUGAGAAACCGUGAGCAAGAGCGCCUGUGCUGAGCCGUGGCACCACCAGAGUGUCCACAAACCCACCCCCAACUAACUUCCCUCUGAGGUUCCAGAAGCCGCAAGGAGCUUUAUCACCCUCAGGGCAGCACGAGGGUCGUGUCAACUUGGUGGUGGUCACUGUAGCAGGCUUUGCUGCCUUCCACCCACUGAGUCCUUCAGCCGUGGGUCAGUCAGACCGACUCCCAGUGCUUGUCCCUUGUCCCAAUGCUGCCCAACUGAACCGAGACUCACUGGAUGCUACUUCUCCACCCAAGAGCACCACCACAGCAGCCGGAGACAUACUUGUGGAUGUCUGCCUGAUGGCCCUUGGGUGCCAUGGCACCCUGAGAGGGCCCCAGCAUGGAUGCUAACUGUUUUCCACCUGCCUGGGUCCCUGCCUUGUCCAGGGACCCCCCUGAAGGGGUUUGUCUUUGAAGUCAUGGAACUCAUUCACAGCCUGAAGGCACUUCAGCUGGGAAGAGCCGGCCAUCCUGCUCCAGAUGUUUUGAUCCAGCUGAUCCCAAACAGCGCCAGAACAGCGAAUCUUCCCUCAGCCUCUUCCCCUGAGACCUUGGGCCAAGCACUCAGUGUAAUUCGUGCCUGGACUGACCUGCGACUGCUUAUCCCAGUGGUCAUCCCAAGCCUGGGCAACAGAGUGAAACUCCAUCUCAAAAAAAAGAAAAAGAAGAGAAAGUUGGCAGGAACAGAGACAGAAGUAAAGGGCAGAGAAUGUUCAGAGAAACGGUGUCCACCACAAACGGCUCACUAGUGACCAAGCACCCUAUUACCAGCACCCAGCUCACGGCCCGGCUGCACCAGGAAUCCCGUUUGCCGGUAUUCACCCAAGCAGCACGCCCUGUAAAACCUCCCCCUGGCCCCUGCCACUUGGCAGAAAGGUCUUCCUCUUCUGUGUUGCCCGCCGCUCCCUUGCAACGUAUAUCCCCUUUUUCUCUAAUAAAUCUGCCUUUCUGAACUCA